This 270-nucleotide ribosomal RNA is filed under the name uncultured archaeon. RNAcentral's name for it is "partial 16S ribosomal RNA". It matches the Rfam family "Archaeal small subunit ribosomal RNA", at positions 477 to 747 of the family's 1478-position model. The record is from RNAcentral.
CAGCACCUCAAGUGGUCAGGAUGAUUAUUGGGCCUAAAGCAUCCGUAGCCGGCGCUGCAAGUUUUCGGUUAGAUCUGUACGCUCAACGUACAGGCUGCCGGGAAUACUGCAGCGCUAGGGAGUGGGAGAGGUAGACGGUACUCGGUAGGAAGGGGUAAAAUCCUUUGAUCUAUUGAUGACCACCUGUGGCGAAGGCGGUCUACCAGAACACGUCCGACGGUGAGGGAUGAAAGCUGGGGGAGCAAACCGGAUUAGAUACCCGAGUAGUCC